Molecule: long non-coding RNA, 642 nt
Organism: Acyrthosiphon pisum (pea aphid)
Lineage: Eukaryota; Metazoa; Arthropoda; Insecta; Hemiptera; Aphididae
Exons: 4
Source: RefSeq, a predicted model, not a curated record
ACACUUUAUAUCAGUUAAAAUUAAAAUAUCGAUGUACGUAGCUGGUAAUUAAUGAAUGAUGUGCAUGUGUUUCUUUGUUUUUAAGCCUCCAUAGUUCAGGCUUCAAUAAACAUUUUAAGCAAUGUUUGCUAGUCAAAUUGUAGUUAAAACAGUAAAAAUGUAUAACUUAAAUAAUAUUUUAAUUUCAAACAAAUAUGAUUCUAUACUGUAUUGCCGAAUGUAUAUAUUAUGGUGCCAGUAUAGCAAGCGACACAAAAUUAGCCAAAUUAAUAUCAUAUAAAAAAAACACUAACUGUUUACCUAUAUCAAGUAAAAAACAUUCAAUUUGGAUUCAAAAUACAAUAAAAAAUAUAAACAUACAUGGAUUAAAAGGAACUAGAUGUCACUGUUAAAGGUGUCAAUGAAAAAUACAACACAACCUUGUACUGUAAUAUGCUUCCAAACCAAUAAAAACAGUUGAUUGAAAAUUCUAAAAAAAUUUUAAAAUGUUGGAUUCGAAUACUAAAGUAUACUGAAGCAUGUAAUAUACUCCUAGUGGUACAAAUAAGGGAACAAAUGUUAAGAAAUGAUUUUAAAAAAAUACAAGUCACAAGUGACUACAUAAUAAAGUCCGAAUUCGGGUAAAUGUACUGAGUGUGCAGU